GACAGAGGUGCCAAGCGUUAGGCGGAAUCACUGGGCUUAAAGCGUGUGUAGGCGGAAUUGUAAGUACCUUGUGAAAUCCCACGGCUCAACCGUGGAACUGCUUGGUAUACUGCUUUUCUUGAGCCACUUAGGGGCUACCGGAACAAAUGGUGGAGCGGUGAAAUGCGUAGAUAUCAUUUGGAACGCCAAUGGUGAAAACAGGUAGCUGGGAGUGUGCUGACGCUGAGACACGAAAGCCAGGGGAGCAAACGGG
This 253-nucleotide ribosomal RNA is filed under the name uncultured bacterium. Its description in RNAcentral is "partial 16S ribosomal RNA". It matches the Rfam family "Bacterial small subunit ribosomal RNA", at positions 524 to 776 of the family's 1533-position model. The record is from RNAcentral.